AAAGAAAGAAAGAAAGAAAGAAAGAAAGAGAUCAAAAACAGAUUGCCGUGAUUUCGGAGUUUUGUGUGACAAGUGUGUUCUUCAAAUCAAGUUCAAGUUUUUU
Molecule: non-coding RNA, 103 nt
Filed under: Ctenophora environmental sample
Lineage: Eukaryota; Metazoa; Ctenophora
Source: RNAcentral